UGGUGGCUAACAUGCAUACCUCAACAUAUACAAUGGUUGAACCAAGAAUCCUUCAAAAAUUGGUCCGAUUUUCCACUCUAAGUACAAAAUACCCCAUAAAAACUAAACAAUUGCUGCAACCAAGCAAACAACUAUCUAACAUUAACUUAAUAAGAACCCACAAAAUUUUUAACCAAACACAUAGCAAACAGAGGUGGCAU
RNAcentral lists this long non-coding RNA (200 nucleotides) under Ricinus communis (castor bean). RNAcentral describes it as "long non-coding RNA (RCOM_LNC001840)". Lineage: Eukaryota; Viridiplantae; Streptophyta; Magnoliopsida; Malpighiales; Euphorbiaceae. The record is from RNAcentral.